Molecule: long non-coding RNA, 1003 nt
Filed under: Homo sapiens (human)
Lineage: Eukaryota; Metazoa; Chordata; Mammalia; Primates; Hominidae
Description: HSALNT0386846
Source: RNAcentral
AAGACAUGGCGCUGACGGGAGCUCCCCGACCAUUUGGCUCUUGAUUCUUCGGGGAAAGCAGCUGUAGAGAAAUGAGAAUACAGGACCCCCUCCUCACACUCGCACACCCUGGUUCGCACGCAUUCCGGUACCCGUCACCUCGGAGCCAGCGAGACCUGGGAUCCAAAUGCGGUUCUGCCUCCUCCGGCCGUGGAGCACUGCAGUGUCGUCCUCCACGAGCCUCCCUGCCCCUGCUCCUGAUUCCCUUUCAGGAAUUUACAAACAUUUUCCCCAGAUCAAUAUCCGUAUUGAUUAUUCAUUGUGAGUGAGUCGUGUGUCUUUGGUGAUCCAGCUUGCAGAGGUAGCAGGCAAAGGCUGCUGCGGGGGAAAAAAAUAACAGAAGGCGAGAGGGACCCAGCUCUUGCUGGGUCUGCGGCUGUCGGCAACACAGAAGGGAAGAGAAAAAGAGAAAAGCACCUCAAAACCAAGGAAUGGACACGGGUGGAAGAGAAAGAGGGAGCAAUAGCAAGAAAAAAGGAAUCGAUGACUGGACAUCUGGUCCCAGGGAAUCUCGAUGGCUUGGAGGAAACCCCCAUCUUGGGUCUGCUGUUACGUGCAGGACGCAAUGGACUUUGCUCUGGGAGUGCAAAGUGACUCACAGUUUUGGUAUCUCCUACGUAAGAGCUUUGGGGGGAUUCCUUGGCUUGCUGACAGGCAAGGAAGACAGCGGCAGCAGUGAGGUAAAACACGAUUACUUCCAACUGCCUUGCGGAGGAGGCGCAGUCGUGCGGUGUGACUUGGACAGCUUGCUGCUCUCUGAUGGCACGCGGAGGGAGAAUAAUUAAAAAGGCCAGCAUCACUUACUAACACUCUUCAUCUCAAGUGAGUAAGAAAAAAAAGAUAGAAAUCCCCAGAAGAGAGAGAUCCUGCCUGUAGUUUGGAAGAAGCCACGCGGUACCUGAGAUAACUUCAACAGCAAAGGGCACUUCAGCAAAUGGUGAAGACAGCAAGAAGGCUCCUCUUC